Molecule: ribosomal RNA, 325 nt
Filed under: uncultured eukaryote
Lineage: Eukaryota
Description: partial 18S ribosomal RNA
Rfam family: Eukaryotic small subunit ribosomal RNA
Source: RNAcentral
CCCUUAGAUGUUCUGGGCCGCACGCGCGCUACACUGACGAAGUCAGCGAGCAUGUCCUACGCCGACAGGUGCGGGGAAUCUUGUCAAACUUCGUCGUGAUGGGGAUUGAUUAUUGAAAUUCUUGAUCAUCAACGAGGAAUUCCUAGUAAGCGCAUGUCAGCAGCUUGCGUUGAUUACGUCCCUGCCCUUUGUACACACCGCCCGUCGCUACUACUGAUUGGGUGUUCAAGUGAGAUGCUUAGACCCUUGUUGCAUGGUUCAUUAUUGUGCUCCGAAAGGAAAAAGUUUCAAGCUUGAGUGUCUAGAGGAAGUAAAAGUCGUAACA